UACGUAGGGGGCUAGCGUUGCUCGGAAUCACUGGGCGUAAAGCGCACGUAGGCGGCUUUGUAAGUCAGUGGUGAAAUAUGGCAGCUCAACUGUCAGGGUGCCAUUGAUACUGCGGAGCUUGAGUACAGAUGAGGUAGGCGGAAUUGACGGUGUAGCGGUGAAAUGCUUAGAUAUCGUCAAGAACACCGAUAGCGAAGGCAGCUUACUGGGCUGUAACUGACGCUGAGGCACGAAAGUGUGGGGAUCAAACAGG
This 253-nucleotide ribosomal RNA is filed under the name uncultured bacterium. Its description in RNAcentral is "partial 16S ribosomal RNA". It matches the Rfam family "Bacterial small subunit ribosomal RNA", at positions 524 to 776 of the family's 1533-position model. The record is from RNAcentral.